GCUGACCGAUAGUGCACAAGUACCGUGAGGGAAAGGUGAAAAGUACCCCGAGAGGGGAGUGAAAUAGUACCUGAAACCGCAUGCCUACAAACAGUCGGAGCUCGAAAGAGUGACGGCGUACCUUUUGCAUAAUGAGCCAGCGAGUUGCGUUUCGUGGCGAGGCUAAGCCGUCAGGUGGAGCCGUAGGGAAACCGAGUCUGAAUAGGGCAUUAGUCACGGGAUGCAGACCCGAAGCCAGGCGAUCUACCCAUGGCCAGGGUGAAGCGUGGGUAACACUGCGUGGAGGCCCGAACUCACCGAGGUUGAAAACUCGGGGGAUGAGCUGUGGGUAGGAGUGAAAGGCUAAUCAAGCUUGGAAAUAGCUGGUUCUCCCCGAAAGAUAUUGACGUAUCGCGUCGGAUAGCGCCACUGGGGGUAGAGCACUGACAGGGCUAGGGGUCCAUAAGGAUUACCAAACCCUAUCAAACUCCGAAUACCGGCGAGCGACGUCCGGCAGGCAGGCUGCGGGAGAUAAGUUUCGUAGCCAAAAGGGAAAGAGCCCA
Molecule: ribosomal RNA, 542 nt
Filed under: uncultured bacterium
Lineage: Bacteria
Description: bacterial LSU rRNA
Rfam family: Bacterial large subunit ribosomal RNA
Source: RNAcentral